AUUGCACAGACAGAAUCGAUUGCUUUGCAGGGCCCAGGGGGGUAGGAGCCCAGGCCCUCCCUCCAGGAAAGAGAUGCACAGAAGAAUGGGAAUUGCACUAGGGACCUCUUCCUUUGCUGUGUGGACAGAAGAGCUCACGGUUGUAUUCAGGGAUUGCAAGGACCACAUUGACUACGUCACCGGUGGACAAGGGGGCUACAAGCCAUUUUGCACAAAUGUCUGCCCACUUGCUCCCUCUUCCAUCCAGGAGUGUGCAACUGAGAGGCUGGCUAGGCCAACCUGCCAGCUCAGGCAUGUGACCUGGCCUAACUGCAUGCCCAGGGCAUACUGCCAGGCUUCCAUGGGCCAGCCCUGCCUCCUACUCUACCUUGGAUUUUUCCCUCCAUCGUUUUUAUUUCUGACCCUUUGCCCCUCUCCACUCUUAAUACACCCCGUGCCCUGCAGGAGCCCCCUUGGUGCAUGGAUCUGCAGUGGUUAUCUCCUAUCCUCUGGAGCUUGAGUGGGGGUGUAGCGCCAGAGGGACUACCCUCGCCACCUUCCUCCCCAGGGCCCGGGCAGCCACGUGUUGAGAAACAAGCUGAUACAGGAGUGAGGCUGGGUGUGGCAGGGGCCGGAAAUCCUCAAAGCUUUCAUAAGUGGCCAGAGUGCCUGUCAUCAGCUCCUGAAUCAGGGAUUUUCAGCACUACCUCCAAGCAGUGGGGUUGGCUGCCCAGCCAGGCUUCUAAGGCCUGAGGACUUGUGGUCAGGCUCAGCAAGCUCCUGGGUAAAAAAGGUGGGAGGGAUUCUCCUCUUAGAAGCAGAGAGCCACACAGGUUGAAUUAUCCUCUCUCAGUAGCCAAGUGCAGGGCCUCAGCUCCAGGCCCGUGAGGACCACCACUCAGGGUUCAGGGCGGGCAGGAGGGCAGUUUCUCCAGCCUCCCCAGUCUGUUGGGCAGAAGGUAGUGGUGUCUUUAUAGGAAACUCUUUCAGGUCAGGGCACCGAUUUUCCUCUUGGUUUAUUAUUUGGGGGAAUAGGGUGGGGUGGUAAUAGUAUUUUACCAGGGUGCUUCUAAGUUACUUUUAAAAAGUCUACGAAACAUUUAUUUGCUUGCAUUCACAACUGUGAUGGUCCCACGGCUGCCUUCUCCUUGGGCAGGUAUGUUCUCCCCUAGUCCUCUUCUGCUGGCCCAUCUGACCUCCAUGGUUAGGGUAUUUUUCACUUGUAAACAAAUGCCAAGUUGUUUAAUAGGAAUGCCAGCAAGUAACCUAUGAGGAAAGAUUGGGGGGCCACAUUAGCUUCAGGGCGUCUGGGAGUGUUUAUCACCAUUGUGGGUCCUUUCUGAUACUUCAAGGGUGACUCCAAGCAGAGUGGGUCAGUCCUGGCAGGCCUGGACCAUCUGGUGUUCACAAGUGUGACAGGGACUAGCUCUGGAUUUCUUAGGUAGGAGGGCAUAUUUAGGUUUUAGGGCACUUCUGAACCUCAAUCCCUGGACAAGGCAGUCCUCACAUAAGAACAUCUACCUUCUCCACCUGGUGGCAUGGGAGGGUAGAGAGUGGAAUGUGGGUUCAUUUGGCCUUGCUUUAUACAGGGUGAGCCCAGUUUGUUUUCCCUCUCCAUUUUCCCUAAUUCCAUGAAAAGGACAUAAUCCAAAUUCCUUUCACUGGAGAAUCAGCCAGUCUGAAGGGAAGUGGGAGGCAAGAGAUGAGAAUCCUCUGAAAAGAUUGUGAAAUACUGAUUUUCAUUCUUUCAAGCUUAUUUGUAAAUACCUAUUUGAAUGCUGUGUAUUUGUACAGGAAUUUGAGCAAAAAAUGUAUAGAGUGUGAUGUCCAAUUGGUAUUCAGCCCUAUAUAAAUGUGUUUUUAACCUCUGGCAUUCUGUGCUUAUUUAAAAUAAGAAAACUUCUAACCAUUUCUUUUGUGUAUUUAUGUUUAAAAUAAGAAGUGACUUAAAAAUGGUCUUACCUGUACCAGAAAGCAAAGUUAAAGAAAAAAAAAUUUGUACUGGUGUCCCAAAAGGUAUUUUACUGUAUAUAUUGUGGUAGCAUGUUCUAAAUCCAACAAGUAAUGUGAAUUUUAAAUGUACAUAUCUGCCACCUUAUUUCCCCCCUUUCCCCACUCCUUUGACUGCUGUGAUGUGAAUUAAAGAUGAAUACC
This 2133-nucleotide long non-coding RNA is filed under the name Phocoena sinus (vaquita). Its description in RNAcentral is "lncRNA (ENSPSNG00000008090.1)". The record is from RNAcentral. Lineage: Eukaryota; Metazoa; Chordata; Mammalia; Artiodactyla; Phocoenidae.